Molecule: ribosomal RNA, 557 nt
Filed under: Porphyrobacter sp. CPCC100546
Lineage: Bacteria; Pseudomonadati; Pseudomonadota; Alphaproteobacteria; Sphingomonadales; Erythrobacteraceae
Also listed under: 1 other name
Description: bacterial SSU rRNA
Rfam family: Bacterial small subunit ribosomal RNA
Source: RNAcentral
GUGGCGCACGGGUGCGUAACGCGUGGGAACCUGCCUUUAGGUUCGGGAUAACAGUUGGAAACGACUGCUAAUACCGAAUAAUGUCUUCGGACCAAAGAUUUAUCGCCUUUAGAUGGGCCCGCGUUGGAUUAGCUAGUUGGUGGGGUAAAGGCCUACCAAGGCGACGAUCCAUAGCUGGUCUGAGAGGAUGAUCAGCCACACUGGGACUGAGACACGGCCCAGACUCCUACGGGAGGCAGCAGUGGGGAAUAUUGGACAAUGGGCGAAAGCCUGAUCCAGCAAUGCCGCGUGAGUGAUGAAGGCCUUAGGGUUGUAAAGCUCUUUUACUGGGGAUGAUAAUGACAGUACCCAGAGAAUAAGCUCCGGCUAACUCCGUGCCAGCAGCCGCGGUAAUACGGAGGGAGCUAGCGUUGUUCGGAAUUACUGGGCGUAAAGCGCGCGUAGGCGGCUUAUCAAGUCAGGGGUGAAAUCCCGGGGCUCAACCCCGGAACUGCCUCUGAAACUGGUAGACUAGAAUACUGGAGAGGCGAGUGGAAUUCCGAGUGUAGAGGUGAAAU